RNAcentral lists this ribosomal RNA (253 nucleotides) under uncultured bacterium. Its description in RNAcentral is "partial 16S ribosomal RNA". It matches the Rfam family "Bacterial small subunit ribosomal RNA", at positions 524 to 776 of the family's 1533-position model. The record is from RNAcentral.
UACGUAGGGUGCAGGCGUUAAUCGGAAUUACUGGGCGUAAAGCGUGCGCAAGCGGUCUUUUAAGUCAGAUGUGAAAUCCCCGGGCUUAACCUGGGAACUGCGUUUGAAACUGGAAGGCUUGAGUGUGGCAGAGGGGGGUGGAAUUCCACGUGUAGCAGUGAAAUGCGUAGAGAUGUGGAGGAACACCGAUGGCGAAGGCAGCCCCCUGGGCUAACACUGACGCUCAUGCACGAAAGCGUGGGGAGCAAACAGG